Molecule: ribosomal RNA, 396 nt
Filed under: Triticum aestivum (bread wheat)
Lineage: Eukaryota; Viridiplantae; Streptophyta; Magnoliopsida; Poales; Poaceae
Description: partial small subunit ribosomal RNA
Source: RNAcentral
GUGCAGGUGACUUGUUCCAGUGAGGACCUGCACGACGUCACGCUCCAUUUCCAGAUCAUAAGACAGUCUGUCGAGAUCUAUGCAUGGAUAGGAUGCAACAACUCGGCAAAGUUUGGCCAUUUAUAUGCUGCUGCAAGCCUGCAACCAGGUAAUGGAGUGAGUGUCGCAUCUGUGCUUGGCGGAACAUCUGAUAACACUGGGUCAAGCAUGGCACACCGCUUAGUGCUCAAGACAGGUCUAAAUAUAGUUUUAGCAUGUAAUAUUCCGAAAGACAGCCCCAUGCUUGAGGCUGCUGCAGAGAGGAAACUUGUAGAGAAGCUGAGAAUAUCAGAUCCAAAACAGGAGAGGCUAACGCUCACGCUGAUGGAUACUUGUGAACUGUCGAGUCCUUCCUAG